Long non-coding RNA from Amphiprion ocellaris (clown anemonefish), 1507 nucleotides. The record is from Ensembl. NCBI's taxonomy places the organism in Eukaryota, Metazoa, Chordata, Actinopteri, Pomacentridae.
CUUGAAUUAAUUAUGAACAUGAUUAAGAAAGCUAAAAUCUCAGGAGCCAGUCUCUCAUUACCCAUUCACUCUUAGGGAUUGCUUUCAUUCAGGGAAGGAGAGGCGAAAAAGCCUUCCAGCAGAGCCCACUCCGGCUCAGCUCUUCUCCCUGUGUGCCUGUCCCCUUGUCUCUGCUGCCGGGCCAACUGACCAAGCCUCCGACAGACAGACCGGCCGGCCGGCCGCCAGCCCGCCCGCCGCCUGGACGGCUCUCUUGCACUCAUGCCUGUUAUGGUGAUGUGGCCAAGCUCAGCUAGCUGCUUCGUGGCCUCUGACGUUUGCAUGGAAAAGAGAGGAUGUGCUCAACCUUCCUGUUCUACACCUGAGUUCAAGCUCUGGGGUCUUGACCCUCUUAAAAAAAGAAACACUCGAGGGUUCAGACAGCCAGCAGACUGGAUUUAGUCCAGACCUGAGUCAGUCACGGUGCAGAUCUUUCUUUCUUCACUUGAGAUAACCAGACAGGACGACACAAUCUUCCGUGAUCCAGGAAGCAACCUCAAACCAUUAAAACAGACAGAAGUCUUUGGAACAAGUCAUGACCGUUCGCCUCCUGUUAUAUGCAGGGAACACAGCAACCUCUUCUGGACAAAAGUGAAAGUAGCAGACAGUGUAAAGAAGCCAGCAUAACCGAAACUCAUAAAAGGCCUCGGCUUCAAGAAUGGACAAAGCCAGGAUAGGACAUGCAAAGUUUGGCUUCAGAUGAGCCCUGGCAGCCACAACGAACACAGCCAAGAGCAUGGUAACCUUUUCACCCACAUACGUAAGAUUCUGAUUUGAAAACACAAAAUUGAAGCUUUUACUAAAAGAAAGAAUGGAUCUUUUAAACAGCGUGAGUAAAGAUAUUGCACAGACAAGUAUCAGACUCAAAUAUCACCAUCAAAGAAUGAUCAGAAAACAUUUAGCGCAUGACUUGAAAUAUUACCAACAUCGCCAAGAGAAACCAAACAACUUAAGGUUGGAUAAAUGACACGCUUACAUGAACGCUCUGACUGGGAUGUAAAAGAAUAAUUUUGUCGCCGCUAGAAAACAUAUGAAGAAAUGCCAGUUUUGAAAAAUGUCAUCUUUAAAAGGGAAAUCUAAAUGUCAGAGAGACAGAUACUUUACACAUAGAGAGCGCUGCCUUCUGGGCGUAACACAGAAAGGCGUGAGAAUAAUAUUUUUUUCCCAGUUGAAAUGAACUGCAAUUACCCGUCAUCAGGCACAGAAAGCAGCACGCUUCACAUCCACAGUCACAUCGCCUGGAGAGGAGCGUGGUCACUGUUUGCAACAUUAGUCAGGAAAUCUGAGGAGGAAAGCACAACAAAAGAAAGAAAUGUGUUUUUGUUAUGCCACAGGAAAAAAUAGAGACACUUUGUUCCAAUGUGCGAUAUGUUACUAAAAAAUAUAAUGAAUUAAUAUCAAAAACAGAGCAAUUGUUCAAGUACUAACAGAAAAUUAAUCUGCCAGCAUUUUGAACAAAAAUUUUAUG